This is a long non-coding RNA of Zingiber officinale, 458 nucleotides long. RefSeq lists it as uncharacterized. The transcript is spliced from 3 exons. Lineage: Eukaryota; Viridiplantae; Streptophyta; Magnoliopsida; Zingiberales; Zingiberaceae. The record is from RefSeq and is a predicted model, not a curated record.
GUCGGCCAGCUGUCUCGUUAUUCCCAAUUGCGCCAGAUCUCUAUUGGGCAUCGCCUCUUGAUUGUGUCGGCCCUAGAUCUAGAGCUCCACUUGUUCCACAGCAGUUUCGGAUUUCAUCAUCGAAGGGUUUCAGAUCUGUUGGGUUUGGGUUGUUAGGUUUACAAGAGAGAGGUGGAGGAUAGUUGUAGAUUGCCGCAGUUGGUUGUAAGCCACUUCUAGUGCUACCUUGAUACUAAAUUGGGUAGCAAGUAGAUGAAUCAAGGAUGCUUGGGAGAGUCCUGACUGCCAGUCCUACGUCACAUCCGAAGACUGCAUCGGGUUUCGUUUAUUCUUUACUCGUAUUUUGUAUUUGGUGUUAUAUUAAUUCGAUUAUCUUUUGGAGUUUAUUAUGUGGAGUUGAAUUUUGUGUUGUUGUGGUUGUUGUAUAAAGUCUAGCCAACUAGCAGUGUGUUGUUUUA